RNAcentral lists this ribosomal RNA (696 nucleotides) under uncultured bacterium. RNAcentral describes it as "bacterial SSU rRNA". It matches the Rfam family "Bacterial small subunit ribosomal RNA", at positions 32 to 715 of the family's 1533-position model. The record is from RNAcentral.
AACGCUAGCUACAGGCUUAACACAUGCAAGUCGAGGGGAAACGACAUCGAAAGCUUGCUUUUGAUGGGCGUCGACCGGCGCACGGGUGAGUAACGCGUAUCCAACCUGCCCACCACUUGGGGAUAACCUUGCGAAAGUAAGACUAAUACCCAAUGACGUCUCUAGAAGACAUCUGAAAGGGAUUAAAGAUUUAUCGGUGAUGGAUGGGGAUGCGUCUGAUUAGCUUGUUGGCGGGGUAACGGCCCACCAAGGCGACGAUCAGUAGGGGUUCUGAGAGGAAGGUCCCCCACAUUGGAACUGAGACACGGUCCAAACUCCUACGGGAGGCAGCAGUGAGGAAUAUUGGUCAAUGGACGAGAGUCUGAACCAGCCAAGUAGCGUGCAGGAAGACGGCCCUAUGGGUUGUAAACUGCUUUUAUAAGGGAAUAAAGUGAGUCUCGUGAGACUUUUUGCAUGUACCUUAUGAAUAAGGACCGGCUAAUUCCGUGCCAGCAGCCGCGGUAAUACGGAAGGUCCGGGCGUUAUCCGGAUUUAUUGGGUUUAAAGGGAGCGUAGGCCGGAGAUUAAGCGUGUUGUGAAAUGUAGACGCUCAACGUCUGCACUGCAGCGCGAACUGGUUUCCUUGAGUACGCACAAAGUGGGCGGAAUUCGUGGUGUAGCGGUGAAAUGCUUAGAUAUCACGAAGAACUCCGAUUG